This 946-nucleotide ribosomal RNA is filed under the name Bacillus sp. B10a(2011). RNAcentral's name for it is "partial 16S ribosomal RNA". It matches the Rfam family "Bacterial small subunit ribosomal RNA", at positions 72 to 990 of the family's 1533-position model. The record is from RNAcentral. Lineage: Bacteria; Bacillati; Bacillota; Bacilli; Caryophanales; Bacillaceae.
GAAGUUUUCUAAAACUUGCUCUUAUGAAGUUAGCGGCGGACGGGUGAGUAACACGUGGGUAACCUGCCCAUAAGACUGGGAUAACUCCGGGAAACCGGGGCUAAUACCGGAUNACAUUUUGAACNGCAUGGUUCGAAAUUGAAAGGCGGCUUCGGCUGUCACUUAUGGAUGGACCCGCGUCGCAUUANCUAGUUGGUGAGGUAACGGCUCACCAAGGCAACGAUGCGUANCCGACCUGAGAGGGUGAUCNGCCACACUGGGACUGANACACGGCCCANACUCCUACGGGAGGCAGCAGUAGGGAAUCUUCCGCAAUGGACGAAAGUCUGACGGAGCAACGCCGCGUGAGUGAUGAAGGCUUUCGGGUCGUAAAACUCUGUUGUUAGGGAAGAACAAGUGCUAGUUGAAUAAGCUGGCACCUUGACGGUACCUAACCAGAAAGCCACGGCUAACUACNUGCCAGCAGCCGCGGUAAUACGUAGGUGGCAAGCGUUAUCCGGAAUUAUUGGGCGUAAAGCGCGCGCAGGUGGUUUCUUAAGUCUGAUGUGAAANCCCACGGCUCANCCGUGGAGGGUCAUUGGAAACUGGGAGACUUGAGUGCAGAAGAGGAAAGUGGAAUUCCAUGUGUAGCGGUGAAAUGNGUAGAGAUAUGGAGGAACACCAGUGGCGAAGGCNACUUUCUGGUCUGUAACUGACACUGAGGCGCGAAAGCGUGGGGAGCAAACAGGAUUAGAUACCCUGGUAGUCCACGCCGUANACGAUGAGUGCUAAGUGUUAGAGGGUUUCCGCCCUUUAGUGCUGAAGUUAACGCAUUAAGCACUCCGCCUGGGGAGUACGGCCGCAAGGCUGAAACUCANAGGAAUUGACGGGGGGCCCGCACAAGCGGUGGAGCAUGUGGGUUUNAUUCGAAGCAACNCGAANAAACCUUACCNAGUCUUGANAUCNU